GUCCACGCCGUAAACGAUGGGCACUAGGUGUUCGGGGUAUUGACCCCCUGAGUGCCGCAGCUAACGCAUUAAGUGCCCCGCCUGGGGGACUACGGCCGCAAGGCUAAAAACUCAAAGGAAUUGACGGGGGCCCGCACAAGCGGUGGAGCAUGUGGUUCAAUUCGACGCAACGCGAAGAACCUUACCUGGGCUAGACAACGUCGGACCGCCCUAGAAAUAGGGUCUUCCCGCAAGGGACCGGCGGUUCAGGUGCUGCAUGGCUGUCGU
This 267-nucleotide ribosomal RNA is filed under the name uncultured bacterium. Its description in RNAcentral is "partial 16S ribosomal RNA". It matches the Rfam family "Bacterial small subunit ribosomal RNA", at positions 793 to 1055 of the family's 1533-position model. The record is from RNAcentral.